UCGGGUAUGGUGUAGCGGUAACAUCAGUGACUCUCAUCUGCUCGCUAGCCUGGGGUUCGACUCUCCAUAUCUGAG
This is a non-coding RNA of Thermochaetoides thermophila DSM 1495, 75 nucleotides long. The record is from the annotation of a RefSeq genome assembly. Lineage: Eukaryota; Fungi; Ascomycota; Sordariomycetes; Sordariales; Chaetomiaceae.